GAUGAACGCUGGCGGCGUGCCUAAUACAUGCAAGUCGAGCGAACAGACGAGGAGCUUGCUCCUCUGACGUUAGCGGCGGACGGGUGAGUAACUCGUGGAUAACCUACCUAUAAGACUGGGAUAACUUCGGGAAACCGGAGCUAAUACCGGAUAACAUAUUGAACCGCAUGGUUCAAUAGUGAAAGACGGUUUUGCUGUCACUUAUAGAUGGAUCCGCGCCGCAUUAGCUAGUUGGUAAGGUAACGGCUUACCAAGGCGACGAUGCGUAGCCGACCUGAGAGGGUGAUCGGCCACACUGGAACUGAGACACGGUCCAGACUCCUACGGGAGGCAGCAGUAGGGAAUCUUCCGCAAUGGGCGAAAGCCUGACGGAGCAACGCCGCGUGAGUGAUGAAGGUCUUCGGAUCGUAAAACUCUGUUAUUAGGGAAGAACAAAUGUGUAAGUAACUAUGCACGUCUUGACGGUACCUAAUCAGAAAGCCACGGCUAACUACGUG
RNAcentral lists this ribosomal RNA (497 nucleotides) under uncultured bacterium. RNAcentral describes it as "partial 16S ribosomal RNA". It matches the Rfam family "Bacterial small subunit ribosomal RNA", at positions 28 to 507 of the family's 1533-position model. The record is from RNAcentral.